AGCUCUGUGCAGAGGCAGUACCAUGGCUAAUGAGGUGUAUCGGAGAUGUGGUUAUUGCUAGUUGAAAAAAAACUCCCAUCAUUACUUAUAUGAUCAAGUCUAAUUUUGUUAAGAUUUUUAUCAUAAAUCUGUG
Small nuclear RNA from Octopus sinensis (East Asian common octopus), 133 nucleotides. RefSeq annotates it as U4 spliceosomal RNA. The transcript has a single exon. NCBI's taxonomy places the organism in Eukaryota, Metazoa, Mollusca, Cephalopoda, Octopoda, Octopodidae. The record is from RefSeq and is a predicted model, not a curated record.